AAGUCGUAACAAGGUUUCCGUAGGUGAACCUGCGGAAGGAUUCAUUAAAUGUAAACCCCCUCGCAGGGGUCUUCUCUGCGCUUUCGACUAGUGCGUCUCGCACGUCGCCAGCAAAGUGAUUCUACACACCUGUGCACCUUUUCAGGCGUCUUUCGGGCACCUGCUUUUACACACGUCAGUCUUUUGGAUGUAACAUGUUAUUCGUACGCAUAAUACAA
Molecule: unclassified non-coding RNA, 218 nt
Filed under: plant metagenome
Description: partial contains small subunit ribosomal RNA and internal transcribed spacer 1
Rfam family: Eukaryotic small subunit ribosomal RNA (bases 1-47)
Source: RNAcentral